Molecule: unclassified non-coding RNA, 383 nt
Filed under: Hevea brasiliensis (rubber tree)
Lineage: Eukaryota; Viridiplantae; Streptophyta; Magnoliopsida; Malpighiales; Euphorbiaceae
Source: RNAcentral
GUCAUAUAUGAAGCAUUUUUGCCAACUAUCUAGCUGAUGAGGGACCUAACAUAGUAUUCAUAGCCAACUAUAGAUUUUUAUCUCCAUACUUCUAUAGAUGGAACGGUUAGUUUGUCAACUUGAUAUAAUUCAUAUGCUUCUUGUUCAAAUUAAUGACCGUCGGCUAGGUUCAUGAAAUUUAAUUAAUCAUAAUUGUAGAGAUAGAUUGUUUAUGAAGGUUUCUAAUUUCUAUUUUGGCUUUAGAGUGCAGAGAGUAAUAAUUAUCUUCCUUUAUAAGGUGUUGCAUUGAGUUCCCGAGACUCUAUUUUUCCAUUUGAAAAGAAGAAGAAUUGUGUGUUUCAUAUGUAUUCUUUUCGGUUCAUAUAUUUUUUUGUUAAGAAAAU